CCUACGGGAGGCAGCAGUGGGGGAUAUUGCACAAUGGAGGGAACUCUGAUGCAGCAAUGCCGCGUGAAGGAAGAAGGUUUUCGGAUUGUAAACUUCUAUCAGCAGGGAAGAAAAUGACGGUACCUGACUAAGAAGCCCCGGCUAACUAUGUGCCAGCAGCCGCGGUAAUACAUAGGGGGCAAGCGUUAUCCGGAAUGACUGGGUGUAAAGGGUGCGUAGGCGGUAAGGUAAGUCUGAUGUGAAAGACUGGGGCUCAACUCCAGGGGUGCAUUGGAAACUAUGUUACUAGAGUACAGGAGAGGGAAGCGGAAUUCCUAGUGUAGCGGUGAAAUGCGUAGAUAUUAGGAGGAACACCGGUGGCGAAGGCGGCUUUCUGGACUGAAACUGACGCUGAGGCACGAAAGCGUGGGG
This 411-nucleotide ribosomal RNA is filed under the name uncultured Phocaeicola sp. RNAcentral describes it as "bacterial SSU rRNA". It matches the Rfam family "Bacterial small subunit ribosomal RNA", at positions 338 to 766 of the family's 1533-position model. Lineage: Bacteria; Pseudomonadati; Bacteroidota; Bacteroidia; Bacteroidales; Bacteroidaceae. The record is from RNAcentral.